Molecule: ribosomal RNA, 252 nt
Filed under: uncultured bacterium
Lineage: Bacteria
Description: partial 16S ribosomal RNA
Rfam family: Bacterial small subunit ribosomal RNA
Source: RNAcentral
UACGGAGGAUGCGAGCGUUAUCCGGAUUUAUUGGGUUUAAAGGGUGCCUAGGCGGGAUGCCAAGUCAGCGGUAAAAAUGCGGUGCUCAACGCCGUCGAGCCGUUGAAACUGGCGUUCUUGAGUGGGCGAGAAGUAUGCGGAAUGCGUGGUGUAGCGGUGAAAUGCAUAGAUAUCACGCAGAACUCCGAUUGCGAAGGCGGCAUACCGGCGCCCUACUGACGCUGAGGCACGAAAGCGUGGGUAUCGAACAGG